UUUUUUUUUUUUUUUAAGGCUAAGAGUUUCUUGGCUCACUAAGGCCAUCUUGAUGUGUGGUGCAAGACAAGAAGGUGCUAUGCUUCCUCUAAAGAUCUUAACGGCAAUGGCUGGGCCCUGGAACCACAUUCUAAAUUAUCCAUUGUCCUUUGUAGGCAUCUGCUGUGCCCCAUCGUGUCAGAUAACCACAGCUAACAUUUUGUGGGCAAACAUGGUCCCAUUCAUUCCAUCAAGCAGUGAAUAAUUCAUAUAGCAAGUUUAACCCUGGGCAAAAUACACUGACAUCAGGAGGCAUUAAACUGGAGUCUUUCAAGGAACAAAAUGGUUAUUCAUGCUUUCAAUGUGAACCCUUAAAUCUUGCCAGUUAAGUUAAAGAAUGAAUUAACUCAAUUCAUCAGACAUAUCACACGAGUCCAUAGUAACACAAUUGCACGAGCAAGUUUCUUAUUUGGAGUAUUUCUACCUGAGGACGGAAAUGCCAGUUACUGUGUCAAGCAAGUCUAUACCGGUUGGGGGUGGGGGUGGUGCUGGGGAAACACUACCUCUUUUCAGAGCCCUUAAAAGUAAAUGAUUUCCAUUUAUCAUUUUUGUUUCAUCUUAUUCCAAAAUCCCCCUGUCUUUAUUAUUUUGUCACCCAUCUGUAGCCAAAAGAAAGGUUUAAGGGUUGCUGGCUUUUCUCUACAGCAACUAACUUGUGCCUGGAGAUGAUGGACUUGGAUAUAUCCGACAUUUGUUGGUUAUUGCUGGAUAUGUGUCCACUAUUUGCUUUUUAAAAGGACAUGAAUGCUGGCUACAUGUGCCUUUUGGAAUUAAUUUUCCAGAGCCAAAGACACAAUAUACUUGACUACUCCUGAAAUGGUGCUUCCCUUUGGCCUCCAGUCUCAGCUCUGGCUCCAGAUAAGAAUGGUCUCCCAUAGACACCUGACUUAGCCAAAAUUCUGUCCAAAUGGGUCUCGGAGGAGAGGAAAAAAUUCUCCAAAAGGUGGAGCAAGAAAAGGGAGGUUUCCAAACUAUAUGCACACAUAUUUUCCAAUCACCUUCCUCCUAGCACCUGACCCAUCCUUUGUCUUCAAGUAGGAAGGGAGAGCCUUGGCUCCAUUUCCUCAGCACCUGCAGAGACCCUUUAUUGUGAGACCAUAUCAUCAUGUUUAAGGUUUCCAUCAGACUGAAGAAAUCCGAGGAAAAGCGUAAAGAGGAUGACAACCAAAUGCACAUAAGAGGGAAAUAAUCAAUAAAACAACAGGCUGAAAUGUCAAAAUGGCCAUUAAAAUUGAGGUACUUUACAGCAUCAUGGUAUUCCUGUUGCAGAACUCCUUCCCCCAUGCCCCAAGUUAUAGGUGUCUUAGGUAAAGGGCAAAUCCCUGUCAGUUGACGUUAGACUUUCAGCAUUCAACAUAGGAGAGUAUUUGAGGAUAUAAGAGAUGCAAAGGUAGGGAGAGGGGAGACCAACAUGCUGGAAGAUCAUGAUGGGAUCUUUCUCUCUAGGGAAAAGACAAAAGAAUAAAAUCCUAGGUGAAGUAUGUAUUUAAGGCUUGUAACAGACCUACCUUUUUAGGCACCUCUCCCAUACUUUUCCCAUAUAAACCUUCUCUAGCCAACUGGGUCUCUCAACAUGCCUUGGAAUUGCCAGAUACAAUUCAAAAGUAUUUGCAAUCUAAGGAGGUACAUAUCCACAGUGAAAAUGAAUAAGGAAAUGAAUAACUAACAUUUUUUUUUCCCAGAAAGUGCUAAUUUUCACCAAGAAUCAAAUAAGUUUCAUCAUUGUAACUCUCUAUGGUUUUCAGUAAAGACAGAAUCAACACAGGGGCAUUUGUUCUUGUGCAGGUUAAUAUAAGGCUAAAGUGUGUUUCUCAACACUCUUCAAACAGUCCCACUCUGUGUCUUCUACCCCUCUAUCCAGUAGUAAAACAAGAGGAAAGGGGAAAUAUGAUUAAUCCAUUGAUCUCAUUUUAGGUGGAUAAACGAUUUCAAUAUAGACUUUACCUUGCCCACUAUAAGAAGGUAGCAGAGAUCAGGGGGGAAAGAAAAGAAUAGCAUAAAUAUCUUAUGGGGAAAAUUGGUGAAAUCUGAUUAUUGACUGAGACUUACCUAAUAGUCUUGUAUCACUGUAAGUACCUGAUCUUGAUAAACAUACUGUGCAUAUAUAAGAGAAAUGUCUUAAUUCUCAGAAAGUUAACCCUGGAGUAUUUAAGGGUAAAGCGGCAUGAUGUCUUCAACUUACUCUCAAAGGGAUCAGAAAAAAGAACACGAGAGAGAAAACAAUAAAACAAAUGGGGAAAAUGUAAACAAUGAAUGACUCUGGGAAAAGAAGGAUACAGAAAUUGUUCAUGUUUCAUUUUCACAACUUAUUGUAAGUUUGAAAUUAGAUCAAGUAAAAAGUUUGAGAUUAAAACGUUCACAGGGUUAAGUUUCAGGAUCUCGUGGGAAAAAAUGACGGCCUAUAAUGGUGAGAAACAACUUUGGAGAUCUGUCAGACAAGUCCCUUCAAUUCAGGGACAGGAAGAUUGAGGCUGACUGGGGCAAGAACCCGCACGAGCAUCUAUCAAAGACCAAGUACAAGCGCGUAGCACCAAGCCCACGGUCUCCCAGUCGAAUAUCUUUCGCCCAGGCUUCCCCUCUGUCCCCACAGAAUUCUUCUUGACUAAUUUAUGUCUCCUCUGAUUACUUUCUCCGACUUUCUCAACUUCACUCAAAUCAUUUUUAAACACUUCUCCCAAAGUGUAUUUCAUGCACAGCACACUAAUUCUGCAGGAUUUUAAUAGAUGUUAUAUAAAGAAGUCUGUGCCCAAAUAAGCUUGGGAAAUACGCAGUCAAAUAAGGUAAAACAGACAUCUCAAGGCCUUUCAAAUGAUAAUGUGCACAUUGUGGGGUAGCCGGGGGUACAGCAUAAAGCAUUUUCCAAACGUAUUUGGACAGGGAAGACUCUUCCUCCCACCCCACCCCACCCCAGUCCUGGGGCUACACACCCCAACACAUUUUAGAACAGCUAGUGGAGAGCAGCACAUGAAUCAUGAGUAAAUGCUGCACGACAGAUGCCACGUGUCAUUUCUCCCAUUCAGCAUGACGAAGCUCCACGACUCCAGGACCGUGGGGACUUCUUACACAGCUGCUAAAGGAGAGAUGGAACCCAGGGCUGAGCCCUAAUUCUGGCUCUGAAUUGACAAACGACAACUCUGGACAAAUCAGCAAAUCCCUUUGAGCUUGUUUCUUCAUCUGUAGAGGAGAGAUAACAUCUAUAUCGCAGAGUGCUCUGUGCGGGCUAGCCGAUUUUAUCUGUGAAAGUUCUUUGUGAUCUACAGACUGUUCCUUCAACAGUAAGGUGGCAGGCGGCUGUUGCAGGAAAGGUGAGGGUGGUCUCUGAAAAAGAAGCUGAAAUAAAAUACUGCUGCACAUGGUGGAAGAGUACAGGACGUGGUUUGCAUCGACGGUCCUCUUGCAGAAAAAGUAGUCUGUAUGCAGUUUCAGACUUGUUAAGGACUACGUGCGUAAGUCGGUUUGAAAAACAAAGAAAAGGACCGAGCAGAUGCUGGGAAGUGCUUAAGAUACAAGUAGGGAAAUGCACGCUUUGGAUUUUGGUUUGUCAUUCUUGGGCAAGGGACACUGCUGUGACACCUCCAUCAUCAUUUUGCAUGGUAUUUUAACUAAAAGAUCUCAGCUCCCUAAAAGGCAGCUCUUUCUCUCUGGCAGAAGGAGUUUCCCUUGCAUUCAGCCGGGUUGGAGGGAGCCACGGUGACAGCCCACCACCCGCACAUGGUCUCAGCGGGGACAGUCCUUCAGCCUCCGAUCACCUCACAUCCCCUGGAGCCACCGUGUCCAGUUCCUGGACCCCACCACAGCCAAGACAUUUUGACCAGUGCAUCUCCCAGUACCUAAGCCAGUUGCACGGUGGUUUUUGAUAUCCCAUGGAUGCAGAACAUUUACAACCUUGAGAUUCUCUUAAAUAAGUGAUUUGAUUUUAUUCCUCUUCACAAUAGUUCUUUGGGGCGGGCUUGACUGCUGCGGUCAUCCCCAUUGUAGAGCUGAGGACGCUGAGGCCCAGGGGGGUGAGUAUGUUCCCAAACUGAGGUCCCAGUGCUGAGAUGAGCUUCAGCUGAUUCCUGGGCCCGCACACCGACCCCUGGUCCAGGCUGCGCCCAAAUCUUCAGCUCCAGCAUCUUGCCCGCCAGGUAGAGGCAGCAGCAGUAGCAGGGCUGGUCUCUCAUUUUAGUGAAGAAAAAAAACAAAAGUGGAUUAUCCAGUGUGGUAGCCCUAAGUGUCCCCCAAACCUCUCCCUGCCUGGGUACUUCAGUGCUAAGAACUGCACCCACGAAACAAUCGUCCUGCCGAGUUCCUUUCCCCGAUGCCCUGCUUUACUGUGCAAAGUCUCCCAGAAGGUCACACCGCAAACAGACCCAAAGGAAGAGGAGAGGAGAGGAGAGAGGAAUUGGCAGUUGUCUAAGGGGCUAAGAACAAACCAGAAGGCUAGGCCUGGGAGGAGGGAAAGCUGUGAUGACCGGAGGGGGCGGGGCAAGGGCGGCUUGGAUUGGGUGCCCCUUCUCCCCACAGGCCCUGAAGGCAAAGGAGUGGCAUUGAAAAGACUCCCGAGCCCUGGGUGCUGAACGAAUUGGGCCCAAAGCACUGCUCUAAGGUGCUGUGUCUCCAGGGUCUGGGGGGGUGUCUGCUUGCAUAUGUGAAUUCCAGAGGGGAUGGGAGGCUUUUAUUAAAAUUCAGGAUCCUACGGAACACAGAAGGCCACAAGCCAAGGAAAGGAAGUGGUGGAAACAAUUAAGAAAUCUAAGCAGAAACGGUUGCCCGAGAGAGGGCCGCAACUGUUCUUUCGACCACAUCCGAUCUUUGCUUCAAAUUGUUAUGCAGGACAGUAAUUGUCUCCUGGGAGGGCAAGAGGCAAACCGGGCCGGGCUGGCCUCUAAUAGGUUUCAACAGCAAAGCACCCUCAUAAAUAGUGCAUAUUGUGAAACCAGAGUUUUUUUCCUUUUCCAGGAGACCUCUCCCAACCCUCCUCCUUUAAUUAAAGAAACGUGGCUUACCAAGAAACAAAUACCUCUUUUCAUAAGGCAUUAAGUAUGGAUUAAGGAGGAAAAAAGAAAGGAAAGAGGAUUCUACAUGGAAGAAGUGAACUUUCAAUGAGCCAUUGAUGCCGAGGCUGUGACAUACAGAUAAUUCCAUGUCUGUGAUCACCAGCACCACCUGCCGAGUCCCCAGCAUCCCCUGUCUGGCAUGCGACAACAUCGUGCCCCCAGGCCCCUGGCUAGACUGAAGUGCGAAUCAGCUGGACUCAGUCUGGAGCAAACCUCUGCUCUCCUUAGUCUGGUUUCUCACCAGCCCCGAUUUGUUACCUGCACCAGCCACUCCAGUUUUGUUCACACUGUAUUUUCUUGUG
Molecule: long non-coding RNA, 5380 nt
Filed under: Canis lupus familiaris (dog)
Lineage: Eukaryota; Metazoa; Chordata; Mammalia; Carnivora; Canidae
Description: lncRNA (ENSCAFG00000055008.1)
Source: RNAcentral